RNAcentral lists this transfer RNA (66 nucleotides) under Photinus signaticollis. Its description in RNAcentral is "tRNA-Tyr". The record is from RNAcentral. Lineage: Eukaryota; Metazoa; Arthropoda; Insecta; Coleoptera; Lampyridae.
GGCUGAGGUUAGGCGAUAAAUUGUAAAUUUAUUUACGGAUAAAAAUUCUUCUACUAAUAGUAGAAU